RNAcentral lists this unclassified non-coding RNA (392 nucleotides) under soil metagenome. RNAcentral describes it as "partial contains 5.8S ribosomal RNA, internal transcribed spacer 2, and large subunit ribosomal RNA". The stretch from base 1 to 122 matches the Rfam family "5.8S ribosomal RNA", at positions 35 to 154 of the family's 154-position model. The record is from RNAcentral.
GAUGAAGAACGUAGUGAAAUGCGAUACUUGGUGUGAAUUGCAGAAUCCCGUGAACCAUCGAGUCUUUGAACGCAAGUUGCGCCCGAAGCCAUCAGGUUGAGGGCACGUCUGCCUGGGCGUCACAUAUCGUUGCUCGAUGCCUAUCGCAUUGCGAUAGGACUUAGGGCGAAUGAUGGCUUCCCGUGAGCGUUGUUGCCUCGCGGUUGGUUGAAAAUCGAGUCCUUGGUAGGGUGUGCCAUGAUAGAUGGUGGUCGAGUUAUCACGAGACCGAUCAUGUGCAUGCUCCCCAAAAUAUGGCCUCUGUGACCCACACGCGUCUUUUGACGCUCAUGACGAGACCUCAGGUCAGGCGGGGCUACCCGCUGAAUUUAAGCAUAUCAAUAAGCGGAGGA